GAGGAGCCUGCGGCGGAUUAGCUUGUUGGUAAGGUAACGGCUUACCAAGGCGACGAUCCGUAGCCGGCCUGAGAGGGCGGUCGGCCACACUGACACUGACAUACGGGUCAGACUCCUACGGGAGGCAGCAGUCGGGAAUUUUGGGCAAUGGGCGAAAGCCUGACCCAGCAACGCCGCGUGAAGGAUGAAAUCCCUCGGGAUGUAAACUUCGCAAGAAUGGGAAGAAUUAGUAGGGGACAAUACCCCCUAUGAUGACGGUACCAUUUGUAAGCUCCGGCUAACUCCGUGCCAGCAGCCGCGGUAAUACGGGGGGAGCAAGCGUUGUUCGGAUUUACUGGGCGUAAAGGGCGCGUAGGCGGCCAGCACAAGUCGGUUGUGAAAUCUCCGGGCUUAACUCGGAAAGGUCAACCGAUACUGUGCGGCUAGAGUGCGGAAGGGGCAACUGGAAUUCUCGGUGUAGCGGUGAAAUGCGUAGAUAUCGAGAGG
This 486-nucleotide ribosomal RNA is filed under the name uncultured Acidobacteriota bacterium. Its description in RNAcentral is "bacterial SSU rRNA". It matches the Rfam family "Bacterial small subunit ribosomal RNA", at positions 224 to 704 of the family's 1533-position model. Lineage: Bacteria; Pseudomonadati; Acidobacteriota. The record is from RNAcentral.